RNAcentral lists this non-coding RNA (100 nucleotides) under Octadecabacter antarcticus. RNAcentral's name for it is "TPP sequence". It matches the Rfam family "TPP riboswitch aptamer (THI element)". From Rfam's summary of the family: Vitamin B(1) in its active form thiamin pyrophosphate (TPP) is an essential coenzyme that is synthesised by coupling of pyrimidine and thiazole moieties in bacteria. The previously detected thiamin-regulatory element, thi box was extended, resulting in a new, highly conserved RNA secondary structure, the THI element, which is widely distributed in eubacteria and also occurs in some archaea. Lineage: Bacteria; Pseudomonadati; Pseudomonadota; Alphaproteobacteria; Rhodobacterales; Roseobacteraceae. The record is from RNAcentral.
GUCUACACCUCGGGGGGCCGCGCUGGCUGAGAUGUUGAAAGACGGACCCGUAGAACCUGAACCGGUUAAAACCGGCGGAGGGAAGGUGACGGGCCAGAAU